Molecule: non-coding RNA, 3805 nt
Organism: Vigna umbellata (rice bean)
Lineage: Eukaryota; Viridiplantae; Streptophyta; Magnoliopsida; Fabales; Fabaceae
Source: RefSeq, a predicted model, not a curated record
UUGCUAAGGUGAAAAUUUUUUGCAGUGAGUUGAUGAAUGCUCCUGUUAGACGUAUAGAUGAAAUUCUUGCUCUGCCCCACUCAGUGGACGAUUUUAGGGAUCAAGAGGUUCCUCCAUCUGAUGAUGAUUCCUGGCUUUAUGGCGGAGAGGAAGAAUUGAACUCUGUUCUUAUGGAAAGACAAAAGGAGAUGGAGCUAUAUGACUUAAAACACAAAAAGAAAGGGAAAGCAAAAGAGGAUCAAGAUACUAGUCCAUCAUCUGCUUUGAAUGCUGACGAGUUUGAUCCUGGAGAUAUAGCAAAGACCAUGCAGUCAUUUGUCCAUAAGUUGUCAAGUUACAAGGGUGCUGAAGCUCCUGAGGACAGGAAUAUGGAAGUGGACAUUGAUGUAGACCAAUUUAUUAAAGACAUGGGAUCAAUAAUGAAGUAUUCAGACAAUGAAGCUGCCAACGGCAAUAUUGAAGAAGGAUCAUCCUCUGACCCGGACUUUGAUGAUUCUGAGAGUGAUGUGGGAGAGCUGGGGGAGGACGAUGAUGAUACUUUCUUGCGGAGCUAUUCUGACGCUAUGAAUGAAGAACUAAAGGCAACCACCCUUCAGAAAAGUUUUGUUCGUGCUAAUGAACAGAUUCCAGAGAAUCAGGGAACAUCUAAUGCAUCAGAACAUAAUAUGGACGAUGAUUUUUCUCCUGUAGAUGUGGAUGUAAAUUUAGUAAAAAGCAUUCUUGAUUCCCUUUCUUCCCAACAAGGCCUUCCUGGUCCUGCUUCUAAUUUGCUCGGCCUCAUGGGGGUGCAGUUACCACAAGAUACAAAGAAGGGCAAUUGAAGAUACUGAAAUAUUUAUCUGGGUUUAAGUUUUGGGAUUCUUCAAUGAUAUUCAUCUGGAUGGCAUGUUUCCCAACCUGCUUACUAUCCUUUAUUUUUUUCACGUUGGGUACGAACCUGCUUAGCAGAGGGCAAUGGGAAUGCUUGCUAGUAAUGGUGUAACUUCACCAGGUUUUGGCACUUGACAAGGGAGGGCUUGCCUCCAGAGAAAAGCAAGACAACGUUCAUCUGUAGCUUGUUUAUUGGAUGUAACAGGGGUCAUACAGGAGAAGAUUGAUUGUUUCUUUGGUUUGGAGCCAAAGAUAAAAGACCUCAGAGGAACCUUGGCCCGGGACUCUGAUUGUCUUAGCUGGCCAUUUUGAUGUCUUUUUGAAACCGAGAAUCCAUGUUCAUCAUUCAAGUUCACCAGAGCCUUUUCUACGUCAAGUUGGAGAGCUGAUACAACAUCUAAACCCGCUUGAAGUUCAUCAGCAACCUUGUUGUUUUCCUGUUUCAUGUUCAAAAUCUCACCUUGGAACUUGGCAGCUUGGUAGCUUGUGAACCUGAAGUCAUCAUCUUCAGCACUGGAUUUCAAUGCUGCUGUUAUAUCCUCUUGGAUGUCACACAAAGAUGAGAAUCGAUUAUGCAGUUCUUCCUUCAACACGGCACCUUUUUCCAUCCAGACAGUUAUUUCACCCUGGAUCUCUGUUAGGUGUUUGUAAAUUGGUUUUGCAUCUGAUCUUAUAGAAUACUUUAUACUACUACUACCCUCUGACGUCCUUCCUCUUUCCUGUAGUUUUGAUAGCUCGGUCUGCAAAUCUUUGAUAGUGGUUUGAAACUUCUGUAUGUCAGAGUAAUAAGCACUGAAAUUUAACCAGAAAGUUAAGUUCUUCUCUAGAAUUUCAUCCAUGUUUGACCGGAAUUUGUCUUCAAUAGGUGAAGUAGAUUGAGGUUCAACUUUUAGAACUUCCUCAAUGCCGUUCUUUUCUGAUGGCAUCACUACAGUUACCUCUGCAAGAUCUUCAUUUCCUUCAAAGCUUCUCUGCAAGAGAACUAGUUUGUGACGCAGAGUUCUUAUCUCUUCAUCUUUCGUGGCAUUGGCCGUCUUCAGUUCUUUUAGCACAGAUGAAUCAAAGUUGCUAUCUUGAUUUUUCUUCUCUAUUUCAGCCAGCCUCUUCUUGACAUCUUUAUAGUUUCGAAGAGUAGUAGUAUAUUCAGCCAGCAGAACUUGUUCUCUAUCAUGCAUUCCAUUUGUAAACAAUUUCCGCCAAUCAGGUUCAUCUUGUGCUGUUGCCUGUUCCUUGGAAUCAACUUUGAGAGAAUUCUCUAUCUCACAUGAACUUUGUUUAGCAUCAUUUUCUUGCUGUUUCUCUGAACUCUCUGAAGAACUAUCUAGCUUGUUGCUUGCUAGUUGCUGUUCGACUUCCUGAUUUUCUGUGGGGUAGUUUCUUCCAUUUCUAAGGAACUGGUGACCUCAACCUCAUUUACUGACUUGACAUCACUUUUCAAUGAACCGGUGACAUUAGCAAAUGGUGAGCCAGUGACCUCAGGCUUGUCUGAUGCUAGAUCAUCUUCGACAGUACCAGCAACCUUAAGUCCCUUAUCUGUUGCACCAUCCUCUACCAAAUCAGCUGUAGAUUCGCAUUUUAAUUCCUCUUGGGGUGAUGAAUCCUGUUGUUCAUCUGAUAAAUGUGUGGUCUUAGCCUCCUCACCUGGCUGCACGUUUUGGACUUUCUCUGAGAGAUGAUCAAGAUUAGAAUGUGCAUCAGCGAAUUGGGUUUGGAGAUUGAUAUUCUGAUCCUCAACAAUUUGGUUUAGAUCCUCUACUCCAUGCAUCUUUUUUUCCAUCUUCCUCAGUUGGUCAUUCAAUUUAUGUUUGUCGUUGAUAAGAUUUUCCUUAUCCUUUUCCAGAAUUCGAAUCUGCUCCUGAAGUUCAUCAGUUUCUGUUCUCAAUCUCUUCACCAUAGCGCUUUGCGAUGAUACUGAAGUUUCCAAACUGAUCACUUUGUUCACUAGCUCAUCAAUCUUUUCUGCCAUCUCUGCUACACUGAAUGAUGAAUUGGAGCUAGUUUCAAAGUUCUCUUUAAGGUUCUUCUUUAAUAAUUGCAGCUCCUGCUUCUUCCGAGUCAAAUCAUCGGCAUUUUCAUCUAACUCUGUUUCUGCUAUUAUUUUUAAAUCACUUUGGAUCCCUGGCUCUUGAGAAUUCUUCCGUUCAUAAUGGAAUUCGUCCAUGAGAGAGCCCACCUUGGCCUUGACAUCCUUUACCCUUUUGGACUCGAUUUUACUUUCAUCAAGUGAUUUUUCCUGUUUCUUUUCUAACUGCGUCAAUGCCUCUUGGCAUGAUUGAAGAGCAGCUCCUGCUAUCAAACGCCGAGCUUCAUCAUCUUCAAUGUCAACACCUUCUCCAAGUUCUUCAUGCAGAGAGGAAACUCUCUCUUGCAAUUCCUUUAUUUGCUCCUCAGUGUCCCAGUACCUACUAAGGGAAUUCUCAUAAGAGUUCUUUACAAAUUCUUUCACAGUUUGUAGGGCCAGAAUCUCUUUCUGCAGCUUGUCAAUCUCUUCAAGGGCAUCUUUUCUGCUCAAACCAGAUUUAGGAACUUUUGGAGUAGCAGCAGCUGCAGUGGCAGCUGCUUUCUUGGAUUGCAAUUUCUUUGUGGCUGUUGCUGCUGUUAUGACCGUUUUCAAAUCUUUAUGGGGAGGCUUUGGUAUAUUUUUCAACCCUUCUGGUUUUUUUUUUGGAAGCCUUUGUGAUGGAUCAUCGUCAUCUUCAUCCAUUAAUGGGACGCGAUCUGGAAAGACAGAAGCAAUGGUGUUGUUGGCAUUUUGUAACUCUGUUGAUAUGUGAUCAUAUCGUUCGGCUAAAGCGCGUGUAAUUUAUAUAUUUUAGAUACCCAACUAAAUUCAUUUAUAAAGGCAAAGACACAUAAAAGUGGGCUGUGUUCAUCUUACACAGUCAUCUAGCCGUGGCUCAAGCAAAUUUUUAAUUCAGUAUUCUAAUUAAUAAUA